AUUGUGCGACUGACGGGAGUGGAUUAACCACAAGGGAGCACAGUGAAAGAACGCCGACCGUCUGGGCAAAC
RNAcentral lists this non-coding RNA (71 nucleotides) under bovine gut metagenome. Its description in RNAcentral is "ZMP/ZTP riboswitch". It matches the Rfam family "ZMP/ZTP riboswitch aptamer (pfl RNA motif)". From Rfam's summary of the family: Previously known as pfl RNA. The record is from RNAcentral.